RNAcentral lists this transfer RNA (91 nucleotides) under Dipodomys ordii (Ord's kangaroo rat). It matches the Rfam family "tRNA". From Rfam's summary of the family: Transfer RNA (tRNA) molecules are approximately 80 nucleotides in length. Their secondary structure includes four short double-helical elements and three loops (D, anti-codon, and T loops). The record is from Rfam by way of RNAcentral. Lineage: Eukaryota; Metazoa; Chordata; Mammalia; Rodentia; Heteromyidae.
GGAGGUAUGGCUCAAUUGGUAGAGUAUUAGCCAUGAGCAGAAAAGGCUAAGCCAGAGCAUAAUGCCCUGAGUUCAAGCCUUAGUACCUGCG